UAAAGUGCGACGCUAUCUAAUGUGUUGCCAACCAUGAAAUUGAGCGAAUUCAAGAUAGUGUGUACGUCUCGUAUAAUGUUUCCCCAGCAUCUUUGCAGACAAGCAUAUGGAUGUCAUCACACCUUCCUAAACCCCCUUUUAGAUCUCUUUUAAAAUCUUGGAUGAAUUGAUAGGGAUGGUUUGAAGCUGGUAUUUUUUUAGGAACAAAUGUCUUCGGACUUCCUACAAUACCUUGUCUGUACUUGUAAAGAAAAACUCAAAAUAACGUGUUUGCUUUGAGCAGAACCUUUCAUGUGCAGACCUGUGGCCAUGAGUGAAAUGUGUAGAAAUAUUAAAACAUGUCUUGUGACGGUUGAUGAAAAUGAAGAUGAUGGAGAUAACGGUUGAUUUGGUAUAAAGCUUGUUGCACUGGUACACACGGUUCCAGUCCCGAGGUUAGGGGAGUGUUGGCGUGCCCUUAAAAAAGUUAAACCCCGCCAAUAUCUGUAUGUGUCUGUUUCAAGUCACGAGACGGUAAUGCAGUGUUUGUCGUUUGUUUCUAUAUACUAUAUUUGUUUCUUUCUUAUUUAUUUUGUACAUUAAUCAGGUCGUUAGAUUUUUUGUUUGUUUUACAUUAUUCAUUUCGGGAAUUGAAGACUAUGCAGUAUGAAUUUUACUCAUUGUUGAAGCCCGUACGGGACCUAUAAUUGUUUUAUGUCUCAUUUGGUCUCAUUUGGAGAGUUGUCUCAUUUGCAAUCAUAUCACAUCUUCUUUUUUUAUAUGGAAUACUUUUGAAGUUUGGGUACGUUGCAAGGGAAAAAAGGGGGGAUAUAGUUACAAAACCUAUAAUGUAAUAGAUAUUAACCAGAGUUAAAUACACAACAAAAGAUAAUACUAUGGUAGCAGUAAUAAUUGUGAAAAAAAAAACCAAAAGCAACGAGUAGUCUAUAAAAAAAAAACUGAAGUAUCCGCAAAUUCAAUUUGAGGUCAUAUUUGACUGUAGUGUUCUAUGGCUUUGGUUUGAUGACUCACCCACU
This 1016-nucleotide long non-coding RNA is filed under the name Mytilus galloprovincialis (Mediterranean mussel). The record is from RNAcentral. Lineage: Eukaryota; Metazoa; Mollusca; Bivalvia; Mytilida; Mytilidae.